CACGUAGGGCGCAAGCGUUGUCCGGAAUUAUUGGGCGUAAAGAGCUCGUAGGUGGUUUGUUACGUCUGCUGUGAAAACCUAGGGCUUAACCCUGGGCUUGCAGUGGAUACGGGCAGACUAGAGGUAGGUAGGGGAGAAUGGAAUUCCUGGUGUAGCGGUGAAAUGCGCAGAUAUCAGGAGGAACACCGGUGGCGAAGGCGGGUCUCUGGGCCGAUACUGACGCUGAGGAGCGAAAGCGUGGGGAGCGAACAGG
RNAcentral lists this ribosomal RNA (253 nucleotides) under uncultured bacterium. Its description in RNAcentral is "partial 16S ribosomal RNA". It matches the Rfam family "Bacterial small subunit ribosomal RNA", at positions 524 to 776 of the family's 1533-position model. The record is from RNAcentral.